This 71-nucleotide transfer RNA is filed under the name Acropyga goeldii. RNAcentral's name for it is "tRNA-Ile". Lineage: Eukaryota; Metazoa; Arthropoda; Insecta; Hymenoptera; Formicidae. The record is from RNAcentral.
AAUGAUAUGCCUGAAAAAGGAUUAUUUUGAUAGGAUAAAUUAUACAUUAUUUAAAUUUAAUGUUUUCAUUA